Potamilus streckersoni is the source of this 73-nucleotide non-coding RNA. The record is from the annotation of a GenBank genome assembly. NCBI's taxonomy places the organism in Eukaryota, Metazoa, Mollusca, Bivalvia, Unionida, Unionidae.
GUUCCGGUGGCCUAGUGGUUAGAGCGUCCGCCUCGGAUGCGGGAGGCCGUGGGUUCGAGCCCCAGGUGAGUCA